GGGGCUGUAGCUCAGUACCAGAGCACUUGCCUAGCAUGCAUGAGGCACUAGGUUCAAUCCUCACCCCCA
RNAcentral lists this transfer RNA (69 nucleotides) under Ictidomys tridecemlineatus (thirteen-lined ground squirrel). RNAcentral's name for it is "Spermophilus tridecemlineatus (thirteen-lined ground squirrel) tRNA". It matches the Rfam family "tRNA". Rfam says of the family: Transfer RNA (tRNA) molecules are approximately 80 nucleotides in length. Lineage: Eukaryota; Metazoa; Chordata; Mammalia; Rodentia; Sciuridae. The record is from Rfam by way of RNAcentral.